RNAcentral lists this ribosomal RNA (239 nucleotides) under uncultured bacterium. RNAcentral describes it as "partial 16S ribosomal RNA". It matches the Rfam family "Bacterial small subunit ribosomal RNA", at positions 100 to 334 of the family's 1533-position model. The record is from RNAcentral.
CCGGCACGGGUGAGUAACACGUAUCCAACCUGCCGUCUACUCUUGGCCAGCCUUCUGAAAGGAAGAUUAAUCCAGGAUGGCAUCAUGAGUUCACAUGUCCGCAUGAUUAAAGGUAUUUUCCGGUGGACGAUGGGGAUGCGUUCCAUUAGAUAGUAGGCGGGGUAACGGCCCACCUAGUCAACGAUGGAUAGGGGUUCUGAGAGGAAGGUCCCCCACAUUGGAACUGAGACACGGUCCAA